GAGGGUAUAGCUCAAGUGGUAGAGCACAUGUUUAUUAGCAUUCAUGAGGUCCUGGGUUCAAUCCCCAGUACUUCCU
RNAcentral lists this transfer RNA (76 nucleotides) under Camelus bactrianus (Bactrian camel). It matches the Rfam family "tRNA". From Rfam's summary of the family: Transfer RNA (tRNA) molecules are approximately 80 nucleotides in length. The record is from Rfam by way of RNAcentral. Lineage: Eukaryota; Metazoa; Chordata; Mammalia; Artiodactyla; Camelidae. RNAcentral also lists the same sequence under 2 other names.